Small nuclear RNA from Molossus molossus (Pallas's mastiff bat), 106 nucleotides. The record is from RefSeq and is a predicted model, not a curated record. NCBI's taxonomy places the organism in Eukaryota, Metazoa, Chordata, Mammalia, Chiroptera, Molossidae.
GUGCUCCCUUUAGCAGCACAUACACUAAAACUGGAACAAUAUGAGAAGAUCAGCAUGGCCCCUGUGCAGGAAUGGCAUGCAAAUUCGCCAAGUGCUCCACAUUAAA